UACGUAGGGCGCGAGCGUUGUCCGGAUUAUUGGGCGUAAAGAGCUCGUAGGCGGCUUGUCGCGUCGAAUGUGAAAACCAGCAGCUCAACUGUGGCUUGCAUUCGAUACGGGCAGGCUAGAGUUCGGUAGGGAGGACUGGAAGUUCCUGGUGUAGCGGUGAAAUGCGCAGAUAUCAGGAGGAACACCGGUGGCGAAGGCGGGUCUCUGGGCCGAUACUGACGCUGGAGGAGCGAAAGCGUGGGGAGCGAACAGG
This 253-nucleotide ribosomal RNA is filed under the name uncultured bacterium. RNAcentral's name for it is "partial 16S ribosomal RNA". It matches the Rfam family "Bacterial small subunit ribosomal RNA", at positions 524 to 776 of the family's 1533-position model. The record is from RNAcentral.